Molecule: ribosomal RNA, 1060 nt
Filed under: Psammomacrostomum sp. 5 TJ-2015
Lineage: Eukaryota; Metazoa; Platyhelminthes; Macrostomidae
Description: eukaryotic LSU rRNA
Rfam family: Eukaryotic large subunit ribosomal RNA
Source: RNAcentral
ACGGCGAGCGAACGGGGAUUAGCCCAACACCGAAUCUCACGGCAUGCGCUGUUGAGAAAUGUGGUGUUAAGGUUGUUCUCUGCAUCUGCCUCCUUGCUUCUCAAGUCCACCUGAUUGUGGCUCAAGCCCAGAGAGGGUGUAAGGCCCGUAGAGAGGCGGAAGCAUGGUGCCUGGAGCUAACCUACGAGUCGGCUUGUUCGGGAAUGCAGGCCAAAGCGGGUGGUAAACUCCAUCCAAGGCUAAAUACUUGCACGAGUCCGAUAGCGGACAAGUACCGUGAGGGAAAGUUGAAAAGAACUUUGAAGAGAGAGUUAAAUAGUACGUGAACCCGCUUAGAGGCAAACGGGUGGUGCUCAAGUUGGCUCAGGGAAUUCAGCCCGUGUCCGGUGUAAGGUGCUGCUGCGAUUUUUAACGGAUYUUUAUCGACCGGCGUGGCAGUUCUCUUAUCCGCAUAGGUGUACUUUCCCUGUUGCCUUCGCCACGACCAACGACAACUGAUUGUCUGCUAUUGGAGAAAGGUGGCGUGCUUUUUUGUGCGUGUUAUAGUCUUCAAUAGUCUUCCGGUACAGUCAGUACGUUGGAUUAGGAUUAGCGAUGCUCGCCCCCCUUAGGGCUCGUAAGGCUGACAAGUUCGGUUUGGCAAUGUUUGCACUGGAAUCCAGUUCAUUUAUUGUUCAAAUUGUUCGUGGUUGGUCCUCUGCGAGUAUUAGCAUCUACAGUCUGUGGCGUUCUAUUGGGUAGACUACCCGACCCGUCUUGAAACACGGACCAAGGAGUCUAACAUGUGCGCAAGUCAUGGGGACAUUACGAAACCCAAAGGCGCAGUGAAGGUAAAGGCUUGUCUUGUACAGGCUUAGGUGGGAUCCGAUGAGCAUUUUUUUGUGUAAUCGGCGCACCACCGGCCCGUCCUAUCUGUUUCUAUCAGUGGGACGGAGCAAGAGCGUACACGUUGGGACCCGAAAGAUGGUGAACUAUGCUUGCGCAGCUCGAAGUCAGUGGAAACACUGAUGGAGGAGCGCAGCGCUUCUGACGUGCAAAUCGAUCGUCAAACGUGAGUAUA